UCUCAACAUCAAGAGUGGCAAUGUUUAUACAUUGUCCAGCAACCGAGCCUUUUGGCAAAGGAUACGGUGCUAGUUCGCUUAAGGGGGAAUGAUGUGGCCGAAAUAGGCAAAAAAAAUAAGUAAC
Molecule: non-coding RNA, 124 nt
Filed under: Minisyncoccota
Lineage: Bacteria; Bacillati
Description: Candidatus Pacebacteria SAM-I-IV sequence
Rfam family: SAM-I/IV (S-adenosyl methionine) riboswitch aptamer
About the family: It is found upstream of a number of genes which code for proteins involved in methionine or cysteine biosynthesis.
Source: RNAcentral